UUAUUUCCAUGGAGUAAUUGACACGAGCGUCACUCGGUCAGUAUAUGAGAUGCAUCACGCCAUUACACAAAAGCAGUUUCUGCACGAAGCAUGGAGGAACAAACAAAGGCGGUGGCGCAUGCAUCCAGAAACACCUCACAAAUACAAUACCUCCAUGAUCUCCAUUUCUUUUCUCGAGCAAUCUAUCGAUGUAUAUACAUCGAUUCGUUUAUUUUAGCAAACGCUCUACGUCUUGUCCGGCACCGGGAAGCUGGCUAGUGUUCCACCGUCGGCUUCGGUCCGUCGAUGGAGUCUCUCGAAUACCCUGUAGGAUGCUCCGAUGCGACCUCCUCGCCGAUCAGCAGAGGGAGCUUCGCAGUGACGAGGGCCGAUGGCGGCGGCGGCGAGGGGUCGUUCGGGCUGGGGUCGGGUCCCCUGGGAACCUUCCUCAGCGGCGAGGCGUCGUCGUCUGCGCUCGCCGUCGGCGGCGGAGGGGGAGUUCGGCGCUGGAAGUAGGGAGGUGUCAGGGCCAGGUGGGACGCCCCCACCAGCGAGUGGCGCGCCGCCAACGCCGUGGACACCAGCAUCAUCAGCGGAAGGAGCACCAGCAGCGCCGCCGCCGACGGCGCGACGACGUUCUUGUUCGCGGCCAUGGCAACUGGCUGUUCUCUGCUACCAGUACACACCCUCCUGUUCUGCUUGUGCUGC
This 687-nucleotide long non-coding RNA is filed under the name Setaria viridis. RNAcentral's name for it is "long non-coding RNA (SVIR_LNC002539)". The record is from RNAcentral. Lineage: Eukaryota; Viridiplantae; Streptophyta; Magnoliopsida; Poales; Poaceae.